This 242-nucleotide non-coding RNA is filed under the name Bacillus sp. (in: firmicutes). RNAcentral describes it as "Bacillus sp. T-box sequence". It matches the Rfam family "T-box leader". Rfam says of the family: Uncharged tRNA acts as the effector for transcription antitermination of genes in the T-box leader family. T-boxes are found upstream of many aminoacyl-tRNA synthetase genes and some amino acid biosynthetic genes usually in Gram-positive bacteria. The record is from RNAcentral. Lineage: Bacteria; Bacillati; Bacillota; Bacilli; Caryophanales; Bacillaceae.
ACAUAACCAAUGAUGGAGCAUAGUAAUUAAGCACAGUCAUGAAAAGAGAGGAAAUGCCCUAGGCUGAAAGCAUUUCUACAUGGAACUUAAUGAAGGAACACUCCGUAGGCUUCUCUCUGAAAAAGGAUCAACUUUAGUAGGAGAAGAACGUAGCAGGCGUUAACUGUUAAAGAGGAAGUGCAUGAAAUCUAUGCCUUCAACUAGGGUGGCACCGCGGGAUUAUUAUAACUCUCGUCCCUUGU